Molecule: long non-coding RNA, 1044 nt
Organism: Rhododendron vialii
Lineage: Eukaryota; Viridiplantae; Streptophyta; Magnoliopsida; Ericales; Ericaceae
Exons: 2
Source: RefSeq, a predicted model, not a curated record
AGAGACGGCAGGAAGGGAGAAGAAGAGAAGAGAAGGGGAUUUGCUUGGGGAUGAUCAUUUUGUCCUGGAAUUGAAGUCCUAACAUGGUAGCGAGUUGGUCAAGUGGGAGGUGUCGAAACCGUAAGUUUGGCAUACUCCAGUCGAAGCGAAGGUGAGUGUGUCUGAUAUGGUACUUCUCAAUAAGAUAUUGUUGUGGUGGUAUGUGUAUAUCAUGCUAAUGGUAUUUUAGCUUUCGAUAUGAUUAUCGUUAUAUAGAUAAUGCGGUGGAGGUGAUUGUAUAUCAAUGAUAUCAUGCUAAUCGAGGUUUAGCUAUUGAUAUGGAUAUAUAUGGUCGAAAUUGUAUAUCAUGCUAUAUGUUGUUUUAGCUAAUGGUAUGCAUGCUUGUUGUAUGUUGAUUGUACCCGCGAAAGGAUUGUGGAGUGAGUCACGCCAUGUCGUAUGCCAUUCCGUCUAAUUAACGGAGGUUGGGAGCAUGGUUUGCGGGACACAAUGCCUUGGGUACAUGGGAAUGUGGCAGACGUGUCACUGCAUGCUUGUGUGAUUUACAUUCAUGCUGUCGUUAAUUCAGUUAUUGUUACGUGGCUGUUUAUUGGAUAAUAUUGCUAUGUUUGGCGGAUGUGGUGGUUAUAACUAAUAUACUCAUAUGGGUAUUGCAGUUAUGUUGGUGGUGAAUAUUCUUAUUGAUAUUCUUAUGGGUAUUGUGAUAUUUUAUUGAGCAUUUCUAUAUCUCACACACUCUGGCUUUCCUUUUUGGUCUGCCAGGUAGCAGGUUCCUUAGAGUGGUUCCACUACCGGUCGACGUGUUGAGGUGUACUCGAGUAUUAGCUUUGGGAGGUGUUGGUGGUCGAGCGUGCUGUAGGUAGUUAUUGAAGGAAUUGAUUUUUAUAAGUUGUAAUUUAGUCAUUGGUGAAUAUGUUGAAGUAUAGAACUUAAUAAGUCUUGUAGUAGUGGUUAUGGUUUUAGCUAUGCAGGCUUGUGAUUGGUUGAUCGGUACGUUGACUCAUUUCUGUUUUAUUGUGAGAAGUCUUCCGCUAAGUUGUAUUC